This 607-nucleotide ribosomal RNA is filed under the name Legionella pneumophila. Its description in RNAcentral is "partial 23S ribosomal RNA". It matches the Rfam family "Bacterial large subunit ribosomal RNA", at positions 2189 to 2795 of the family's 2925-position model. The record is from RNAcentral. Lineage: Bacteria; Pseudomonadati; Pseudomonadota; Gammaproteobacteria; Legionellales; Legionellaceae.
CCCUUGAAAUACCACCCUGUUGUUAUUGAGGUUCUAACUUGGUCCAGUAAUCCUGGAUGAGGACAGUGUAUGAUGGGUAGUUUGACUGGGGCGGUCUCCUCCCAAAGAGUAACGGAGGAGCACAAAGGUACCCUCGGUACGGUCGGACAUCGUACCAAGAGUGUAAAGGCAAAAGGGUGCUUGACUGCGAGAGUGACGGCUCGAGCAGGAACGAAAGUUGGUCUUAGUGAUCCGGUGGUUCUGAAUGGAAGGGCCAUCGCUCAACGGAUAAAAGGUACUCCGGGGAUAACAGGCUGAUACCGCCCAAGAGUUCAUAUCGACGGCGGUGUUUGGCACCUCGAUGUCGGCUCAUCACAUCCUGGGGCUGAAGCAGGUCCCAAGGGUAUGGCUGUUCGCCAUUUAAAGUGGUACGCGAGCUGGGUUUAGAACGUCGUGAGACAGUUCGGUCCCUAUCUGCCGUGGGCGUAGGAAAAUUGAGAGGAGCUGCUCCUAGUACGAGAGGACCGGAGUGGACGAACCUCUGGUGCACCGGUUGUCACGCCAGUGGCAUGGCCGGGUAGCUAAGUUCGGACGGGAUAACCGCUGAAAGCAUCUAAGCGGGAAGCCU